UACGGAGGGGGCUAGCGUUGUUCGGAAUUACUGGGCGUAAAGCGCGCGUAGGCGGACCUGCAAGUCGGGGGUGAAAGCCCGAGGCUCAACCUCGGAACUGCCUUCGAUACUGCGGGUCUCGAGUCCGGGAGAGGUGAGUGGAAUUCCUAGUGUAGAGGUGAAAUUCGUAGAUAUUGGGAGGAACACCAGUGGCGAAGGCGACUUUCUGGCCUGUUCUUGACGCUGAGGCGCGAAAGCUAGGGGAGCAAACGGG
RNAcentral lists this ribosomal RNA (253 nucleotides) under uncultured bacterium. RNAcentral's name for it is "partial 16S ribosomal RNA". It matches the Rfam family "Bacterial small subunit ribosomal RNA", at positions 524 to 776 of the family's 1533-position model. The record is from RNAcentral.